This 373-nucleotide ribosomal RNA is filed under the name uncultured bacterium. RNAcentral describes it as "bacterial SSU rRNA". It matches the Rfam family "Bacterial small subunit ribosomal RNA", at positions 521 to 896 of the family's 1533-position model. The record is from RNAcentral.
UAAUACGGAGGUGGCGAGCGUUACUCGGAAUCAUUGGGUGUAAAGGGCAAGUAGGCGGUUUGUUAAGUGAGGGGUGAAAUCUUCCGACUCAAUCGGGAAACUGCCUUUCAAACUGACAGACUUGAGGGUGGAAGAGGAAAAUGGAAUUCGCGGUGUAAGGGUGAAAUCUGUAGAUAUCGCGAAGAACACCAGCGGCGAAGGCGAUCUUCUGGUCCACUUCUGACGCUAAAUUGCGAAAGCUAGGGGAGCAAACAGAAUUAGAUACUCUGGUAGUCCUAGCUGUAAACGAUGAGCACUAGGUGUUGGCCCGUAAGGGUCAGUGCCGCAGCUAACGCAUUAAGUGCUCCACCUGGGGACUACGGCCGCAAGGUUA